GAGGUCUGGUCGAUCAAGAACAGGAGAGGGCGACCUCCCUCAUCCUCAAAACCCUAAAAUUCACUAAACCCACAAAUUGAAGGCUCAAUCCAAGUUGAAAUCAAAAUCUGAACAUGGAAUCGUGAUCACCUCGUCAAAAGAAGUCAUAAGUUUGACGCUAAACGAGCUAGGUGGAAGCUUGAGGACGAAGCGGGUCAAACAAAUCAAUAAGGAAAAGUAAGGCAUAGUUUGGAUGCGAGGAUGAAUCGGCCUAUGAAUUAGCGAUGCUAUGAAUUAGCGAUGCUAUGAAUUAGCGAUUAUUGAGACAAUGUAUUAAAACGGGUCAAUAUGUUGAUCCGAACCAGGUGAAUGUUAUAUGCUUCCGCAUGAAGAUCAAGCCACGAGCAAGAACCGAACAUACCUCUCAAUGAAGCUUCCGCAUUCGAUCUAGUUUUCUUUUAAUAAAAGUGGAUUAUGUAAACACUUUUAACGAUGUUUUGGAUGUUGUAAACAUGUUUAAAUACUUAUGAUGUAAAAGUUUUUGUUAAGUGGCAUUUUUCAUAUAAA
This 546-nucleotide long non-coding RNA is filed under the name Helianthus annuus (common sunflower). The record is from RNAcentral. Lineage: Eukaryota; Viridiplantae; Streptophyta; Magnoliopsida; Asterales; Asteraceae.